UGGGGAAUUUUGGACAAUGGGCGAAAGCCUGAUCCAGCAAUGCCGCGUGUGUGAAGAAGGCCUUCGGGUUGUAAAGCACUUUUGCCCGGAAAGAAAUCCUUGGCUCUAAUACAGUCGGGGGAUGACGGUACCGGAAGAAUAAGCACCGGCUAACUACGUGCCAGCAGCCGCGGUAAUACGUAGGGUGCAAGCGUUAAUCGGAAUUACUGGGCGUAAAGCGUGCGCAGGCGGUUUGCUAAGACCGAUGUGAAAUCCCCGGGCUCAACCUGGGAACUGCAUUGGUGACUGGCAGGCUAGAGUAUGGCAGAGGGGGGUAGAAUUCCACGUGUAGCAGUGAAAUGCGUAGAGAUGUGGAGGAAUACCGAUGGCGAAGGCAGCCCCCUGGGCCAAUACUGACGCUCAUGCACGAAAGCGUGGGGAGCAAACAGGAUUAGAUACCCUGGUAGUCCACGCCCUAAACGAUGUCAACUAGUUGUUGGGGACUUCAUUUUCCUUAGUAACGUAGCUAACGCGUGAAGUUGACCGCCUGGGGAGUACGGUCGCAAGAUUAAAACUUAAAUGAAUUGACGGGGUCAUAGCUG
RNAcentral lists this ribosomal RNA (581 nucleotides) under uncultured bacterium. RNAcentral describes it as "partial 16S ribosomal RNA". It matches the Rfam family "Bacterial small subunit ribosomal RNA", at positions 355 to 932 of the family's 1533-position model. The record is from RNAcentral.